This 498-nucleotide ribosomal RNA is filed under the name uncultured bacterium. Its description in RNAcentral is "partial 16S ribosomal RNA". It matches the Rfam family "Bacterial small subunit ribosomal RNA", at positions 30 to 523 of the family's 1533-position model. The record is from RNAcentral.
AUUGAACGCUGGCGGCAUGCCUUACACAUGCAAGUCGAACGGUAACAGGUCUACGGAUGCUGACGAGUGGCGAACGGGUGAGUAAUACAUCGGAACGUGCCUAGUAGUGGGGGAUAACUACUCGAAAGAGUGGCUAAUACCGCAUGAGAUCUACGGAUGAAAGCAGGGGAUCGCAAGACCUUGUGCUACUAGAGCGGCCGAUGGCAGAUUAGGUAGUUGGUGGGAUAAAAGCUUACCAAGCCGACGAUCUGUAGCUGGUCUGAGAGGACGAUCAGCCACACUGGGACUGGGACACGGCCCAGAAUCCGACGGGAGGCAGCAGUGGGGAAUUUUGGACAAUGUGCGAAAGCCUGAUCCAGCAAUGCCGCGUGCAGGAUGAAGGCCUUCGGGUUGUAAACUGCUGUUGUACGGAACGAAAAGCCCCGGGUUAAUGCCCUGGGGUCAUGACGGUACCGUAAGAAUAAGCACCGGCUAACUACGUGCCAGCCGCCGCCGUAA